Molecule: ribosomal RNA, 468 nt
Filed under: uncultured bacterium
Lineage: Bacteria
Description: bacterial SSU rRNA
Rfam family: Bacterial small subunit ribosomal RNA
Source: RNAcentral
GAUGAACGCUAGCGGGAGGCUUAAUACAUGCAAGUCGAGCGGUAAGGUUUUCGGACCCUAGAGCGGCGAACGGGUGAGUAACGCGUACGAAACCUACCUUUAAGAGAGGAAUAGCCCUGGGAAACUGGGAGUAAUGCCUCAUAGUAUUCAUUUACCGCAUGGUUUAUGGAUUAAAGUUCCAACGGUAUAAGAUGAGCAUGCGUCCCAUUAGUUAGUUGGUAAGUAACGGCUUACCAAGACGAUGAUGGGUAGGGGUCCUGAGAGGGAGAUCCCCCCANACUGGUACUGAGACACGGACCAGACUCCUACGGGAGGCAGCAGUGAGGAAUAUUGGUCAAUGGUCGCAAGACUGAACCAGCCAUGCCGCGUGCAGGAAGACGGUCCUAUGGAUUGUAAAACUGCUUUUAUACAGGAAGAAACCCUCCCACGUGUGGGAGCUUGACGGUACUGUAGGAAUAAGGAUCGGCU